CAGACUUAUAGUUGAGAAAUGGGAGACAGAGAGGGGAGGAUUUGAGAGAGAGAGAGAGACAGACAGACAGAGGAGUUCAGAAAGAGAGAGGACAGAGAGGGAGUGAUAGCAGAGAGGCUUUGAGUGUUGCACGGCACGAGGAGGAAGAAAGAAGACGAGUCUGAGGGUUAUACAUUUUAAAUCUUUACCUGGCGGAUCGGGCGACGGAGUACGCGGCGGGAGAGCCGCUAUCGCUGUGCUAGAAUACCUCGCCGCUGAGGUGUUGGAGCGAGUGCCCUUUUGAAAUUUCAUUUUUUUUUCUUUCUGUUUCUCAUUAAUUUUCUUAAUCUCUAAUUUUUAGA
Malus domestica (apple) is the source of this 341-nucleotide long non-coding RNA. RefSeq lists it as uncharacterized. NCBI's taxonomy places the organism in Eukaryota, Viridiplantae, Streptophyta, Magnoliopsida, Rosales, Rosaceae. The record is from RefSeq and is a predicted model, not a curated record.